AAAUAUUAAAAAGACUUUUCAAAAAUUAACUAGAUACUUACCAUUACUAAAUUAUCUAACGUACAAUUUAUAGAAAAGCUCAGUGCAUUUCUUAAACUUUUUCUUAUCAUUUGGAUACCAUUCGUGACAUUCAGCCUUGCAACAUUCCUCAAGACAUUCUUUCCUCUUUACUGAAUUAUAAGGAUGACGUUUUUUGCACUCUGUUAUACACGAUAUUAUUGUAUCUGAAAGAUAAUCAUCAUCACUCUUGGUUGCAAUAUUAAUGGAUUCAUCAGCGGUGUUAUAAGAUUCAUCAUUGGCAAAACACAUAACCAUUCCAAUAAUCAACAUUG
Molecule: long non-coding RNA, 332 nt
Filed under: Arachis ipaensis
Lineage: Eukaryota; Viridiplantae; Streptophyta; Magnoliopsida; Fabales; Fabaceae
Description: long non-coding RNA (AIPA_LNC002168)
Source: RNAcentral